GUGCCUAACACAUGCAAGUCGAACGCGAAAGUGGAGCAAUCCAUGAGUAGAGUGGCAAAGCGGGUGAGUAACGCGUGGGUGACCUGCCUUCGAGUGGGGGAUAACGUUCCGAAAGGGACGCUAAUACCGCAUGACAUUCUGCCUUUGAAGAGGCGGCAAUCAAAGCUGGGGAUCGCAAGACCUAGCACUCGAAGAGGGGCCCGCGUCCGAUUAGCUAGUUGGUGAGGUAACGGCUCACCAGGGCAACGAUCGGUAGCCGGCCUGAGAGGGCGGACGGACACACUGGGACUGAAACACGGGCCAG
Molecule: ribosomal RNA, 304 nt
Filed under: uncultured bacterium
Lineage: Bacteria
Description: bacterial SSU rRNA
Rfam family: Bacterial small subunit ribosomal RNA
Source: RNAcentral